RNAcentral lists this ribosomal RNA (427 nucleotides) under uncultured Halomonas sp. RNAcentral describes it as "bacterial SSU rRNA". It matches the Rfam family "Bacterial small subunit ribosomal RNA", at positions 355 to 774 of the family's 1533-position model. Lineage: Bacteria; Pseudomonadati; Pseudomonadota; Gammaproteobacteria; Oceanospirillales; Halomonadaceae. The record is from RNAcentral.
UGGGGAAUAUUGGACAAUGGGCGAAAGCCUGAUCCAGCCAUGCCGCGUGUGUGAAGAAGGCCCUCGGGUUGUAAAGCACUUUCAGUGGGGAAGAAAGCCUUGGGAUUAAUACUCCCGAGGAAGGACAUCACCCACAGAAGAAGCACCGGCUAACUCCGUGCCAGCAGCCGCGGUAAUACGGAGGGUGCGAGCGUUAAUCGGAAUUACUGGGCGUAAAGCGCGCGUAGGCGGUCUGAUAAGCCGGUUGUGAAAGCCCCGGGCUCAACCUGGGAACGGCAUCCGGAACUGUCAGGCUAGAGUGCAGGAGAGGAAGGUAGAAUUCCCGGUGUAGCGGUGAAAUGCGUAGAGAUCGGGAGGAAUACCAGUGGCGAAGGCGGCCUUCUGGACUGACACUGACGCUGAGGUGCGAAAGCGCGGGUAGCAAACA